Molecule: non-coding RNA, 48 nt
Organism: Schistosoma rodhaini
Lineage: Eukaryota; Metazoa; Platyhelminthes; Trematoda; Strigeidida; Schistosomatidae
Source: Rfam
AUCCAUCUGACGAGUCCCAAAUAGAACGAAACGCGAGUCAAACUGGAU